RNAcentral lists this small RNA (125 nucleotides) under Marmota monax (woodchuck). The record is from RNAcentral. Lineage: Eukaryota; Metazoa; Chordata; Mammalia; Rodentia; Sciuridae.
GCUGGGUGUGGUGUCACAUGUCUGUAAUCCCAGUGGCUCAGGAGGCUGAGGCAGGAGGAUCACAAGUUCAAAGUCAGUCUCAGCAAAAGUGAGGCACUAAGAAACUCAGUGAGACCCUGUCUCUA